AGGUUCUGGGAGGCUGAGGAAAGGAGUGGAUGUGAGGAGUCGCGUGGGAGAGUGGGAGGCGCGGGGCUGCAGGGGCAUUCGCUUCCAGCCUACGUGGGUCCCCCUGAGGAUGCCGGGGUCACAGUGCACAAAGCCGCCCUCUCCCAACACCUCCAGCGGUCCAGGAGAGGCGGCAGAGUGCAGGAGGGAUGCGAGGGUGAGGGGCUGAACCAGGGGCCAGGGCCUUGAGGGCGUCUCCAAGGCAGCGCUUUAAGGAAAGGGCCAUGGAGUUCCAGCUGCGGCAGGACAGGAAGCCGCCGACGGAGGUGAGAUCGGUGGCCUGAAGUGAGGCCGGGUACCGAGGGCAUCAGGGUGGGGGAUUCAGAAAGCGGAAGAAGCUGGAGGUGAGCAGGACCCGGGCGCCGCGAGCGUCUCGGUGACCACUGUGAGCCGAUGAGGUCCACAGGGCCAGGGCCUGGCCCAGGGUGGCCCCAAAGCUGCGAGCAGGAGGAAGAAGGAAGGGCGGGGUCCGGAGCCCUCUCACCUCCCGCCUCGAGCUUGGUGCAGGCAGCGGAGAGCCCGGCCGGGAAGCCUUCCCGCCGUGGUUACUGACUCGUUUGCACAAGGACUUUUUAGGGAAGAGAGAAGCCAGGCCUACACGGUGGGCCCAGGCCCUCACACCCGCAAGCUCUCGCCCAUGGGGCCCUCGUCGGGAACGCCCUCUCGACUCCCGCUGGGUUCACUCUUUCGCAUUUUGCACGACUCAGCUUCCUGGAAAUGGGUUCAUUCACUGGUCGAUUCAGAGGGACACUAGAAACGCGGUGCCCAGAUCUAAGACAUCCUGGCCUUUUGGAGAGGGGUAAAAAAGUACCCGCCAGAAGCCCAGUGCCUCCGGAGAGGUGGGCUUCGCAAGCAGGGACAGCUUCUGGGCCCCGGGGGCGCGCACGCCCGCUCUGGGCUUGGCCGGCAGAGGGCGCUGCGGGGCGGCCCUGGAACUGCCCGGGGAGAGCGCCAGGGGUCCCAGCCCAGCCUGUCUGCCGCGCUCCGCUCGGGCCGCGCCCUCCUCCGAGCUGCCUCUUCUGCCCGACCCUGCGGCCCCAUUCAACAAUGGCACAGCGCGCUCCUUCCAGGGGCGGAAGCUCCCAGAGCCCUCACGUUUGCUUCUGUCUGGAGUAGCGGCAGAAUUUCGAUAAUUUGUGUCUUUGACGGAGACUGGGAAGGUAGCCUGGCCACCGCGCAGGAGAGCUGCGGGGGGUCCAGGAGGGGAGCUCCGAGUGGGAGCAGUCUGCCCAGGCUGCGCAGCGCGUGGCGGCUGUCACAGGACGCGGGCGGGGACCCUGCAUCCGGAGUCAGGGGUCCUGGCAGCUGCGGGAAAGGGAGGCAGCUCUGCCUCCACGGUUCCGCAGAGGGCCACUGUCUGCCUGGAUCUUUCAUCAGGUCCCAGGCAGCGGGUGAGCUCUCUACUCUGCUUCACUCCUUGGGGCAGAAGUGUGGCUGCUGAUCCUGGAGUACGGAAGAAGAAAGCGUUUGUGUGAUUAAAAAUCUUUUUAUAGUGGUAAAAUACACAUCACAUGGAAUGUACCAUGUUAACCAUUUUUAAGCGUACAGUUCAGUGGCAUUAAGUUCAUUGAACAUUGCUGUGCAAUCAUCACCACCAUUUAUCCACAGAAGUCUUUUCAUCUUGAAAAUCUGAAACUGUACCCAUUAAACAAUUCCCCAUUCCUCCUCCCCCCAAGCCCUGGCAACCUCCAUUCUACUUUGUCUCCAGGAAUUGGACUACCCUAGGCAUCUCAUGUAAGUGGAAUGAAACAGCAUCUGUCCUUUUGUGACUGGCUUAUUUCAGGUAACAUAACGACCUCAAGGUUUAUCCAUGUAGCAGCAUGUGUCAGAAUGACCCUCCUUUUUAAGGCUGAAUAAUAUUCCAUUGCAUGUCUAUAUCACAGUUUGCUUAUCUGUUCAUGCAUCGAUGGACACUGGGUUGUUUCUACCUCUUGGGUGUUGUGAACGAUGCUACCAUGAACACAGGCGUAUAAAUGUCUGCUUGAAAUCCUGCUUUCAGUUAUUUUGUAUAUAUGCCUAGAAAUGGAGUUGAGUUGCUGGAUCAGACGGUAAUUCUGUGUUUAAUAUUUUGAGGAACCACCAUACUGUUUUCCAUAGUGACAGUUGCAUGAUUUUUAAGAGUGGCUUACUUUCAUCACAUUUUUUAAGGUAAUAUUUUGGACCAAAUGGUUAAUAAGACUGGUGACGAGGUGCAAGACUCUGGGACAAUGGCCAAAAGGUGAUGUUCUUUUUUGCUCUUCUGUCUGUCCCCAGCCCAUGCCCCUGCUGACAGCCCCGGGCUUGCCAUCCAUCAUCUGGAAGCUAGGAGGGGCUGAGUAACCCAGCACUCUGGAGCCGGGUGCACCAUUUCUUAUAGUGUCUUAUGAGGAUGCAGAAGAAAUGGCUACAGAGCAGCUGCUGAAGGAGGAGGAGGGCUCAUAAACUGCUAGAAUUUUGGAGGGCUUCAGCCCCUUGAGUCCUGGGACAGAUAAGGGAACAAAGACUGCUGCGAGGAGAAGAAUGUGGAAGAAGAGAACUCCGAGGACACAGAGCCCCAAAGGACGAGCUUGCCAUUCUGGAGAGGAAUGGCAUCAGGGACCCAGGCUGCACAUGGGGACUGAGCACCGCCUGUGUGACCUUCCUGUUCUUCUGUGACAAAGGUGGUGCUGCCCAGCAGAGUGGAAGAAGCAUGUGCUUUGCGAUGAACUCACCUAGCAGACAGCAGCUUUGGAAUGUCCAGCAGACACAGUCAAGACGGAACUCGCUUCCUUCCUGCAGCUUGCUCCUCCAGCCACUUCCAAGUCUUCACUGGUGACGCCACCUUUUGCUCCCUCACAGGGGGUCAUGCUGAAUGCCUCAGCUCCUUAGCCCCCAUUAUGGAAGCCUUUGGAAUUCACUCUCCUUUAAUGGGUCUCCUAUUUCCCCAGUCCUCAUUUAUAUUGGCACUUCCUUAGUUUAAUUCUUUAAGAUCUUGGUCUUUGCAGGAGUUAUUUCCUCUUUCUGCACUGCCUUUCUCUUAUCUUCCCAGCAAAUCCCACCUGGUCCUCUCCUCCCCCAUCCCUGCUCAACGUCCUUUCCUGGGUGAAACCUUCCUGGACUCCUCUCACCCAACACAUAGCACAUGGGUUCUGUCUGGCGAGUCUCCCAGCAGCAGGAGCCAUCAUCUCUCCAAUGGCUUCUGCUCAUAACACCCCUGCUGGCACCCACAGGUGUUUAUGGAAUUAACUCAGUGUCUAGGAAAAUAUGCAUUUAUUUCAAAAAAUAUGCAGUGUAACAAAAAUUAGAUUCAACAAAACAUUGCUAUGAAUUUUGGCCUGUGAUGGUGCCAUACACAGUAAUGUUAUCAGAACCUCCGUCAUUGGUCAAGGCUGAGGUGGAAGCUCUGUUUUGAUCAGCAUCUUAGACCACCAGUGAUACGUCUACCUGAACAGACUGAGGAAAAGACUUUCACACACUGAAGUCCAUAUUCUUUCUGCUGGAUGAGAAUCCAGGUAGCCACAGGCCUCUUUCUGGAAGGGGUGUGCAGUGGUGGGUGGUGAGGCAGCAUCCUGACCCAGAGACCAGUUGGUUGCCCUACACUCUGACAGGGAGGUGGGACCCUGGCCACGUGAAUCGCAUGCCAUGACCCCAGGCCCCCCCAGCCCCACUUGGCUCAUGCUCCUGACACCACUUCCCUCCUCUGUGCUUUCAACCUGCAGGAAGCUUCCUGCCACCCACUGGUCACUGUGAGCUUAGUUUUCAGAGAGUCAGCCUUUUGGUGGCAAGCAGAGGGGCUGAGAGGACAGGAGAGCCUGUUCCCUGCAUUUGUGGCUGCCUCUGCCUGGGACCCACACUCCUGGGGCCCUGGACUUGCCCUUCACCUUCCUCUCAUUCUUGCCCCUGGUGUCCCCUCAGCUGCUCCCUGGGUUUUAUCCUUGGUACUUGACAUAGUUUGGCUCUGUUCACACGCACAUCUCAUCUUGAAUUCCCACAUGUUGUGGGAGGGAACUGGUGGGAAGAAAUUGAAUCAUGAGGGGAGGUCUUUCGCAUGCUGUUCUCAUGAAAGUAAGUCUCAUGAGAUCUGAUUGUAUUAUAAGGGGAAUUUCCUUGCCCAAUUUCUCCCUCUUUGCCUGCUGCCAUCCAUGGAAGACGUGAUUUGCUUCUCCUUGCCUUCUGCCAUGAUUGUGAGGCUUCCUCUGCUAUCUGGAACUGUAAGUCCAAUAAACCUCUUUUUUUUCUAAAUUG
Long non-coding RNA from Sapajus apella (tufted capuchin), 4242 nucleotides. RefSeq lists it as uncharacterized. The record is from RefSeq and is a predicted model, not a curated record. Lineage: Eukaryota; Metazoa; Chordata; Mammalia; Primates; Cebidae. The transcript has 3 exons.